CUNCCUGNGGAUAUUAAACACCAAGACUAACUACUGCAAACCCUUUGCCAAGGAUUUUUUCAUUAAUCAAGAACGAAGGUUAGGGGAACAAAAACGANCAAAUACCGUUGUAGUCUUAACAUUAAACUAUGCCGACAAGGGAUCGGGCAAUCUCACUUUUAUGUGUUGCUCGGCACCUUACAAAAAAUCAAAAUCUUUGGGUUCUGGGGGGAGUAUGGUCCCAAGGUUGAAACUUAAAGGAAUUGACGGAAGGGCACCACCAGGUGUGGAGCCNGCGGUUUAAUUUUACUCAACCCGGGGAAACUCACCCGGUCCAUACAUAACUUGGAUUGACACAUUGAUAGCUCUCUCAAGAUUUUAUGGGCGGGGGUGCAUGGCCGUUCUAAAUUGGNGGAGUGAUUUGUCUGGUUAAUUCCGAUAACGAAAGAGACCUUACCCCGCUAAAUACACAGGGCGGUUUUGGCUGGACCCCUCCUUCUUAAAGGGACUGACAUUGUCUACCUGACGGANCUUAAGGCUAUAACNGGNGUGUGAUGCCCAUAUAUGUUCUGGGCCGCACACACUCUAGCCUCACACAGCCCCAAGUUUAUCACCCUGCACUGAUAAGNAUCGGUAAUCUUGUAAAACUNUGUCUAGCCCGGGAUACACANNGAAAANAAAAAA
Molecule: ribosomal RNA, 663 nt
Filed under: Clavulina cristata
Lineage: Eukaryota; Fungi; Basidiomycota; Agaricomycetes; Cantharellales; Hydnaceae
Description: bacterial SSU rRNA
Rfam family: Eukaryotic small subunit ribosomal RNA
Source: RNAcentral